This 67-nucleotide transfer RNA is filed under the name Geomys breviceps. Its description in RNAcentral is "tRNA-His". It matches the Rfam family "tRNA". Rfam says of the family: Transfer RNA (tRNA) molecules are approximately 80 nucleotides in length. Their secondary structure includes four short double-helical elements and three loops (D, anti-codon, and T loops). Further hydrogen bonds mediate the characteristic L-shaped molecular structure. tRNAs have two regions of fundamental functional importance: the anti-codon, which is responsible for specific mRNA codon recognition, and the 3' end, to which the tRNAs corresponding amino acid is attached (by aminoacyl-tRNA synthetases). tRNAs cope with the degeneracy of the genetic code in two manners: having more than one tRNA (with a specific anti-codon) for a particular amino acid; and 'wobble' base-pairing, i.e. permitting non-standard base-pairing at the 3rd anti-codon position. Lineage: Eukaryota; Metazoa; Chordata; Mammalia; Rodentia; Geomyidae. The record is from RNAcentral.
GUAACUAUAGUUUAUAAAAACAUUAGAUUGUGAAUCUAAAAAUAAAGACUAAACCCUUUUAGUUACC